RNAcentral lists this ribosomal RNA (253 nucleotides) under uncultured bacterium. RNAcentral's name for it is "partial 16S ribosomal RNA". It matches the Rfam family "Bacterial small subunit ribosomal RNA", at positions 524 to 776 of the family's 1533-position model. The record is from RNAcentral.
UACGUAGGGAGCAAGCGUUGUCCGGAAUCAUUGGGCGUAAAGCGCGCGUAGGUGGCCUCAUAAGUCCGCUGUGAAAGUCAAAGGCUCAACCUUUGAAAGCCGGUGGAUACUGUGGGGCUAGAGUACGGAAGAGGCGAGUGGAAUUCCUGGUAUAGCGGUGGAAUGCGCAGAUAUCAGGAGGAACACCAAUAGCGAAGGCAGCUCGCUGGGACGUUACUGACACUGAGGCGCGAAAGCGUGGGGAGCGAACAGG